UACACUCCUACGGGAGGCAGCAGUGGGGAAUUUUGGACAAUGGGCGAAAGCCUGAUCCAGCAAUGCCGCGUGUGUAAAGAAGGCCUUCGGGUUGUAAAGCACUUUUGUCCGGAAAGAAAUCCUUGGCUCUAAUACAGUCGGGGGAUGACGGUACCGGAAGAAUAAGCACCGGCUAACUACGUGCCAGCAGCCGCGGUAAUACGUAGGGUGCGAGCGUUAAUCGGAAUUACUGGGCGUAAAGCGUGCGCAGGCGGUUUGCUAAGACCGAUGUGAAAUCCCCGGGCUCAACCUGGGAACUGCAUUGGUGACUGGCAGGCUAGAGUAUGGCAGAGGGGGGUAGAAUUCCACGUGUAGCAGUGAAAUGCGUAGAGAUGUGGAGGAAUACCGAUGGCGAAGGCAGCCCCCUGGGCCAAUACUGACGCUCAUGCACGAAAGCGUGGGGAGCAAACAGGAUUAGAAACCCCGGUAGUCCCAUGA
This 477-nucleotide ribosomal RNA is filed under the name uncultured organism. RNAcentral's name for it is "partial 16S ribosomal RNA". It matches the Rfam family "Bacterial small subunit ribosomal RNA", at positions 332 to 800 of the family's 1533-position model. The record is from RNAcentral.